Molecule: long non-coding RNA, 796 nt
Organism: Neofelis nebulosa (Clouded leopard)
Lineage: Eukaryota; Metazoa; Chordata; Mammalia; Carnivora; Felidae
Exons: 2
Source: RefSeq, a predicted model, not a curated record
GCCUGGCCGUGGGAGGAAGGGGACAGCCCGCCGUCCCCAGCCCACGCGGGCCCGGAGGAGCAGCUCCGAACCCCGGCCUGCACGUCUGGGAAGGAAGGCUGGGGCGGAGUCACAAACAGUGCCGUGGGGUGUGUCAUCGAAGCCGCCUUUGUGGCAAAACACGGGCCGGGGAGGCCCGGGGCCGGACCAAGGCUUGGGUUGCUCGGUGGCCUUCGGGGACAGGAAAUUCUAAGGGGAGUCCGCGGAGUCUUUCUGUUGUAGGCAAACCGCCGAGCCUCCCCUCCCUCUGCCUUUGCCUCUGCCCUCCCUCCACCAGUAUAACACGCAUAACCCAGAUUUACCGCCCUACCCGUUUCUAAGCACGCAGCUCCGUGUGGCAUUAAGCACCUUCACCUCUGUUGUGCCGCCGUCCCCCAUCCGCGACCAGAACUUUCCGUCUUCCGAAACGAAACUCCGUCCCAUUAAAACACUACCCCCCCACCCCCUCCCCCAGCCCCGACGCCCACUGUCUGCUUUCUGUCUUUAUGAAUGUGAGUCCGUGAGGUCCCCGUACGAGUGAAAUCCCGCAGGAUCUGACCUUCUGUGACCGGCCUGUGUCAAUCAGCAUCACGUCCCCAAGGUCCACCCACGCCGUAACGGGUGUCAGAACGCCCUUCCUUUUUAAGGCUCAGUGCUGUUCCCUGGCAUGGGUGGACCACUUGGGCUAUUUUCUCAAGACACAAGUUUAUGGCAUAACAACACUGGAAACACAGCUGUGUCUUUCUACAAGCCAAUAAAACACAAGCACUGGCAGCAA